This is a long non-coding RNA of Magnolia sinica, 1965 nucleotides long. RefSeq lists it as uncharacterized. The record is from RefSeq and is a predicted model, not a curated record. The transcript is spliced from 3 exons. Lineage: Eukaryota; Viridiplantae; Streptophyta; Magnoliopsida; Magnoliales; Magnoliaceae.
GUGGUAUCCCUUGUUGUUUUUUUUUCUUUUUUAAACCAAGGGUAUUGUGCAACAUUUAUUAUGAUGUUUUGAUUGAUCUCAUGCCUUUAUCUUCACCUAGAAUCGGAUCAUCUAGGAUUGUGGCAUGCUUCACUUUCAAUAUUUCACAGCUGCAAAUAGCUGCAAUCAAUACCCUAUUUUCAGUGGAAUCCAUACUCUGUUUUUGGUAACCAAGCUGUUAAUCAAUGUAUGAUUGCUGGUCCCUGUACGUUAGAUACACUGGUUCUAACCACCUUUUAUUAUUAUUCACCGUCAGCCCUUAAUCGCUGUUUGUAAUCGAUAAUGAUUCCAGUGCUUGAUGUUGUUGGGUAGCAAUGCAUAGAUUGUUUUUGACAGCUUUGUAUUUGGUGUUAGCGCAUUGAUUACUUGCUUGUCAUGGGCUAUUUGUUUUGGUUGUAACAUGAUUGGUUGUAUGGAUUUUUUUUUUGGCAUUAUAGAUACAUGUUAGUGCAUCAAUCAUUGAUAUCUUAUGGGCCAAAGACCAUCUCUAGACACUAGGCUUGUGACGUACAUGAAUCCACUUUGGACCCUUUACUAGUUUUGCAAACAAACAUCAUGUAAAGAAUUAACUAGUAAAGAGUAGUCUGCCCCACCUGACUCCUUUGUUUUGUGAUUCGGGUGUGAGCAGCUAUAAUGGAUAAUCCCCUCCCGAGCUGUCUUUUGUAUGAUUCUUGCUAAGGCCAGUCCACUCAUCAGGAGCUACUUCCAUGCUCGGAGAGCCUAGUGCUUCAAUAGGCAAUUCUGGGAAGACCCAACUUGCAUACAGAUGAUCUGAGCAUUCUCUUGUACAGACCAAGUUGAUAUCACUGACAAUAGCUACAUAGGAAAAGGCAUGUACAUAUGCUAGGAGCCAAUCAUAGCCUCUUUGAGGUUGAAUGAUUGUGAAACUAUAAAACUAGCUACAUAGUUUUUCAUUUUGUCGUUAUUGUCUUGCCUACACUUCUGUUUUAUCCAUUUGGGUUUUAAGCAAAAACUUUAAUACCAUCAGGAAGAAGCUAAAGAUAAAGAAGAAGAGGAAUACGAAGAAAAAUCUGAAGAAGAAACUGAGGUCAGUGGAAUGUCUCUUUGAUUAUUGCUUCUUUUGUGUUUUUCUUUGUCUCUUCUUACUUUGGGAAUCUUAUGUUACAACCUGACAAUUUCAUUUUGCACCACUUAGCUGUCAUUAUCUGUACUCACUUCCUUCUUUUAUGUAACUGGGCCUGAUGUUUGGCUGAAAAAGAAAGGCAUGCAGGGUGUUAUUGAGAUCGAAAAUCCUAAUUUGGUAAAACCAAAGAAUUUGAAAGCUAGAGACGUUGAUACUACUGCAGAGUGGGAACAUCGUAGAGAAAAUUUUGUCGAAGAGCUAGAUUUUGUUAUUGCAGACUUGGUAUAGCUCUUUUUCAUGAUUAGAGUGUUGUGAACAUUGUUCUUUCUUCUCAUAUUAUUUUUCCUUGGAAUGUUGAAUAUUAAUACCAAUCAGUACUAUAUGACUGCUACGGUUAACCUUAUUUUUUAAUUCGAAUUUUGAACUAUUUAUAACUUCGAAGUAAUUCACUAUAUCAUGAAUUAGUUGGAUGCAUGAUGCUAGGUAAAAGUAUACAAGCAACAUAUUGGAUUAUCUAAAGAGAUUAUUCCUUAGUAACAUCCAAGAGUAGAAUACUGUUUUUUAUUUGUCGGUGCAAUACAUCUGUUUUAUUUGAGUGUACUUCCAUAACUUGGUGGGAAGGUUAGCUAAAAAAAGAAAAAAAGAAGAAGAACAUGUUGCUAGCCCUCAGAGAAAAGAACAUCUGGUCAGGAGAACAGUGCAUACUUUAUGUGCAAGGUGUAAUGAAGACUUAUCAACAAGUUCAUUCUGAUUUCCUAUCACUUCAUGGGACAAACUAACAAAAGACUUUAUCUGUGAUGCAGUCAUAAGAAGCUUAAUGCUCAUCUCUAACUAGUCCAUAU